This 26-nucleotide non-coding RNA is filed under the name Callithrix jacchus (white-tufted-ear marmoset). Lineage: Eukaryota; Metazoa; Chordata; Mammalia; Primates; Cebidae. RNAcentral also lists the same sequence under 2 other names. The record is from RNAcentral.
UUGGUGGUGGUGGUGGUGGUGGUGGU